RNAcentral lists this ribosomal RNA (448 nucleotides) under bacterium symbiont of Megymenum gracilicorne. RNAcentral's name for it is "partial 16S ribosomal RNA". It matches the Rfam family "Bacterial small subunit ribosomal RNA", at positions 594 to 1041 of the family's 1533-position model. The record is from RNAcentral.
GUGAAAUCCCCGGGCUUAACCUGGGAACUGCCUUCGAAACUGGNNAGCUAGAGUCUGGUAGAGGGGGGUAGAAUUCCAGGUGUAGCGGUGAAAUGCGUAGAGAUCUGGAGGAAUACCGGUGGCGAAGGCGGCCCCCUGGACAAAUACUGACGCUCAGGUGCGAAAGCGUGGGGAGCAAACAGGAUUAGAUACCCUGGUAGUCCACGCCGUAAACGAUGUCNACUUGGAGGUUGUUCCCUUGAGGAGGGGCUUCCGGAGCUAACGCGUUAAGUCGACCGCCUGGGGAGUACGGCCGCAAGGUUAAAACUCAAAUGAAUUGACGGGGGCCCCCCCAAGCGGGGGAGCAUGUGGUUUAUUUCGUUGCACCGCGAAAAACCUUACCUCCUCUUGACAUCCAGAGAACUANUCAAAAAUGCUUUGGUGCCUUCGGGAACUCUGAGACAGGUGC